GCUUAGAGUUUGAUCCUGGCUCAGGAUGAACGCUGGCGGCGUGCUUAACACAUGCAAGUCGAACGGUCUCUUCGGAGAUAGUGGCGGACGGGUGAGUAACGCGUGAGAAUCUGCCUUUAGGUUCGGGACAACAGUUGGAAACGACUGCUAAUACCGAAUGUGUCGCAAGAUGAAAGAUUUAUUGCCUAAAGAUGAGCUCGCGUCUGAUUAGCUAGUUGGUGGGGUAAAAGCGUACCAAGGCGACGAUCAGUAGCUGGUCUGAGAGGAUGAUCAGCCACACUGGGACUGAGACACGGCCCAGACUCCUACGGGAGGCAGCAGUGGGGAAUUUUCCGCAAUGGGCGAAAGCCUGACGGAGCAACGCCGCGUGAGGGAGGAAGGCUUUUGGGUUGUAAACCUCUUUUCUCAAGGAAGAUAAUGACGGUACUUGAGGAAUCAGCAUCGGCUAACUCCGUGCCAGCAGCCGCGGUAAUACGGAGGAUGCAAGCGUUAUCCGGAAUAAUUGGGCGUAAAGCGUUCGUAGGUGGUUUUGCAAGUCUGCUGUUAAAGCGUGUAGCUUAACUACAUAAUGGCGGUGGAAACUGCAAAACUAGAGUGCGUUCGGGGCAGAGGGAAUUCCUGGUGUAGCGGUGAAAUGCGUAGAUAUCAGGAAGAACACCGGUGGCGAAGGCGCUCUGCUAGGCCGCAACUGACACUGAGGGACGAAAGCUAGGGGAGCGAAUGGGAUUAGAUACCCCAGUAGUCCUAGCUGUAAACGAU
Molecule: ribosomal RNA, 759 nt
Filed under: uncultured cyanobacterium
Lineage: Bacteria; Bacillati; Cyanobacteriota
Description: bacterial SSU rRNA
Rfam family: Bacterial small subunit ribosomal RNA
Source: RNAcentral